UAUUAUUGAAGGAAAGCAGGGUCGAUUUAGACAAAAUCUUUUAGGGAAAAGAGUUGAUUAUUCCGGC
Molecule: transfer RNA, 67 nt
Filed under: Emiliania huxleyi
Lineage: Eukaryota; Haptophyta; Isochrysidales; Noelaerhabdaceae
Source: RNAcentral